RNAcentral lists this transfer RNA (74 nucleotides) under Pseudomonadota bacterium. Its description in RNAcentral is "tRNA-Val". It matches the Rfam family "tRNA". From Rfam's summary of the family: Transfer RNA (tRNA) molecules are approximately 80 nucleotides in length. Their secondary structure includes four short double-helical elements and three loops (D, anti-codon, and T loops). Lineage: Bacteria; Pseudomonadati; Pseudomonadota. The record is from RNAcentral. RNAcentral also lists the same sequence under 2 other names.
GGGCGAUUAGCUCAGUUGGCUAGAGCGCAGCUGUCACAUAGCUGAGGUCACUGGUUCGAGCCCAGUAUCGCCCA